CGGGGUGUAGCUCAGGUGGUUAGAGCGCUAUCUUGGGGUGGUAGAGGUCGCCAGUUCGAGUCUGGCCACUCCGA
RNAcentral lists this transfer RNA (74 nucleotides) under Bacillota bacterium. RNAcentral's name for it is "tRNA-Pro". It matches the Rfam family "tRNA". Rfam says of the family: Transfer RNA (tRNA) molecules are approximately 80 nucleotides in length. Their secondary structure includes four short double-helical elements and three loops (D, anti-codon, and T loops). Further hydrogen bonds mediate the characteristic L-shaped molecular structure. tRNAs have two regions of fundamental functional importance: the anti-codon, which is responsible for specific mRNA codon recognition, and the 3' end, to which the tRNAs corresponding amino acid is attached (by aminoacyl-tRNA synthetases). tRNAs cope with the degeneracy of the genetic code in two manners: having more than one tRNA (with a specific anti-codon) for a particular amino acid; and 'wobble' base-pairing, i.e. permitting non-standard base-pairing at the 3rd anti-codon position. Lineage: Bacteria; Bacillati; Bacillota. The record is from RNAcentral.